Molecule: non-coding RNA, 195 nt
Filed under: Clostridium perfringens
Lineage: Bacteria; Bacillati; Bacillota; Clostridia; Eubacteriales; Clostridiaceae
Description: 6S RNA
Rfam family: 6S / SsrS RNA
About the family: E. coli 6S RNA was the first non coding RNA to be sequenced, but its function was unknown until recently. It consists of 184 nucleotides that fold into an extended hairpin structure with a large single-stranded internal bulge.
Source: RNAcentral
UUAAUCCUGAGAUGUACGCGAAGCUUAUUAAUUUUAACCUACAUGAGAAAUACGGGAUUUGCAAAACAGCUAAUGAAAUCGGGCUUCAAGUUUUACUUCACUUUUGUGACGGAAGAUGAUCGAGUUAGUUUGCGUAAAACCCACCUGCGAGAGGAAGGUAUAAAAUUGUAAGUGUGACGGCAUAUUGGGGAACAU